UACAGAGGGGCAAGCGUUGUCCGGAAUCACUGGGCGUAAAGGGCGCGUAGGCGGCCGUUCAAGUCGGGGGUGAAAGCCUGUGGCUCAACCACAGAAUGGCCCUCGAUACUGGAUGGCUCGAGACCGGAAGAGGUUGGUGGAACUGCGAGUGUAGAGGUGAAAUUCGUAGAUAUUCGCAAGAACACCAGUGGCGAAGGCGGCCAACUGGUCCGGUUCUGACGCUGAGGCGCGAAAGCGUGGGGAGCAAACAGG
Molecule: ribosomal RNA, 252 nt
Filed under: uncultured bacterium
Lineage: Bacteria
Description: partial 16S ribosomal RNA
Rfam family: Bacterial small subunit ribosomal RNA
Source: RNAcentral